UACGUAGGGGGCAAGCGUUAUCCGGAUUUACUGGGUGUAAAGGGAGCGUAGACGGCAAUGCAAGUCUGGAGUGAAAGCCCAAGGCUCAACCAUGGGACUGCUCUGGAAACUGUGUAGCUUGAGUGCAGGAGGGGUAAGCGGAAUUCCUAGUGUAGCGGUGAAAUGCGUAGAUAUUAGGAGGAACACCGGUGGCGAAGGCGGCUUACUGGACUGCAACUGACGUUGAGGCUCGAAGGCGUGGGGAGCAAACAGG
This 253-nucleotide ribosomal RNA is filed under the name uncultured bacterium. RNAcentral describes it as "partial 16S ribosomal RNA". It matches the Rfam family "Bacterial small subunit ribosomal RNA", at positions 524 to 776 of the family's 1533-position model. The record is from RNAcentral.